RNAcentral lists this unclassified non-coding RNA (301 nucleotides) under Hevea brasiliensis (rubber tree). The record is from RNAcentral. Lineage: Eukaryota; Viridiplantae; Streptophyta; Magnoliopsida; Malpighiales; Euphorbiaceae.
AAAGAAAAAAUCCCCACUAAGAAUCUGUACCUCAAUUUAAGGUCCUCAGAUACAUGGGUAGCAGAAUACAGGAAAUGGAUGGACAAAGUUGGACAUGGGAUGCCCUAUCAUUUUGGGCACAACACAAUCUCUCUGCCUGAACUGCCUGCUGUUAUUGAACAUGCACCAGCCGGGCUUGUUGCUGGAGUUUCAGCUUCUUCACCAGCCAAGGGUGGGAUUGGACAAAUGCAUGCAUCCAAUUUGGGCAACAGGUAUUUCCGGCAUGUAAUCCAUUGCAGGGAAUGCAGUAGUGUUGUCAAAG